This 77-nucleotide transfer RNA is filed under the name Halalkalibacter krulwichiae. RNAcentral describes it as "Bacillus krulwichiae tRNA-Thr". It matches the Rfam family "tRNA". Rfam says of the family: Transfer RNA (tRNA) molecules are approximately 80 nucleotides in length. Their secondary structure includes four short double-helical elements and three loops (D, anti-codon, and T loops). Lineage: Bacteria; Bacillati; Bacillota; Bacilli; Caryophanales; Bacillaceae. The record is from RNAcentral.
UGCCGGCCUAGCUCAAUUGGUAGAGCAACUGACUUGUAAUCAGUAGGUUGGGGGUUCAAGUCCUCUGGCCGGCAUCC